GGCGUCUCCCCGGCUUCUUGCGGCGUCGGUGGCGAGCUGAGGUGGAGGCAGGCUGCGGCGGCGAGGGCGACAGCGGUGGCGGCGGCGCCAUGGCAGGGCUUGCAGCUCUAGCAUCGCCCUCAGAUGUCCUGGUACCUACAGCAGUAACGGGACAGGGGGCAUGAUGACUCCGGGAUCUGGGUCAAGUCCACGUCUUGGAGCUUGAAAGAGUCGUGAUGAUGGUUGUGGCCCCCUGGAAGAUGAACAUGGCAGGAACUGGCCGAGAGAUUUUUCUGCUGAUGGUGAAACGUCCUGGCAAUUUAUACAGUCCCAAGCCACAGAGCAUCACCCCGUGUCAUGGAGGAGGCAACAGAAAACAGAGAGGUGCCUUGCUGAUAUAGAGCACGAAUGGCAGGAGCUGGAUUCAGACCUCAGUCCAUCCAGGAUCAAAGUCCUUCCCAGGACCAAGUUGAUCUGCGAGGAAGAGGAUGAGAGAUGUGUGAGAUGCAGGUGGAGAAGCUCCAUGGCACGUGCGGGAGGCUGGCGGUGCGGUCCGAGGUCCGACCGGAGACCAGACCGGAUAUUUAAGCGUCACAUCAGACUGCAGUGACAACGUCUGCAGUGCCAGCACUACAGCAGACAUGGUGUGUACCCGCUGGAGGUGUUGCUCUCAGUUUAGUACGCCCUACGGGACUCCUGGUGUAGCCGACGUGCCCUGCCACAGUGUUCCUUGCAGCUGGCGACUGGCGGCUGUAGCUGCUUUUGCAUGUUUCCUAUUGAUUGACUAUUAAAAUGUUUCCAGUGUCAUUCCAUUAAGACAAACCUGUAAGAGCUUCCUAAAAUUGCCCUUUUUGCAUGUGUUCAAGUAUUUCUUUGGGACAGAUAUCCAAUUUGUGGGUCAUAGGGUAUACCUAGCUUUAAUUCUAAUAGAAACUUCUAAAAUGUUCUCCAAAUUCCCAUCUGAUGAAUCACCUGCCAGCAGUGUGUGAGAGCAUCCAUUUCCCCAGACCACGUCCAAGUUUUCCAUUCUUAACCAGUCUGAUGAGUGAAAAAUAGUAUGUUGCUUCAUUUCACAUUUUUCUGAAUUGCUUACACAACUGAAGUCUUCAUGUGUUUACUGUCCAUUUUUAUGUCCUCCUUUGGAUUGCUUGUGCAUAUCCUUUGCCUGUUUCUUUUCUUUUUUUUUUUUUAAGGUGAUUUUUUUGUCUUUUUGUUAUUGAUUUUUAGGAUUUCUUCAUGUAUUUGACUAUAAAUACUUUGUCAUGUAUAUUAAUGUUUUCUACACUGUGAUUUGUGUCAUUUAAUUUGGGGGGGUUUGUCUUAGAGAAAUUUUAAUUUUGAUACAAAUUUGUCAAUCUCACUUUUAUGCUAUUUUUAUAGUCUUAUUUUAAAAAGUCUUUUCUAGGAGUUCCCGUCGUGGCGCAGUGGUUAACGAAUCCGACGAGGAACCUGAGGUUGCGGGUUCGGUCCCUGCCCUUGCUCAGUGGGUUAACGAUCCGGCGUUGCCAUGAGCUCGGCUCGGAUCCAGCGUUGCUGUGGCUCUGGUGUAGGCUGGUGGCUGCAGCUCCGAUUCAACCCCUAGCCUGGGAACCUCCAUAUGCCGAGGGAGUGGCCCAAGAAAUAGCAAAAAAAAAAAAAAAAAAGUCUUUUCUAGAUCAAGAUCAUAAGUAUUUUCUAUAUUUCCUUCUCUAAAAUUUAUAGUUUCUGUAUAAAUACAUAUUUAAGCCUUUAUACUAUAUACAAAGAACAAAUUCCAAAUGCCUGAAUCUUAGGAACUAACUUUAAUCCCUCUCUGUUUCCCACAAAUGGGUAGGUAAUUGUCCCAAUACCACUUAUGGAAUAAUAUAUCAUUUCUCCACUGAUUUAAAAUCGCUGCCUCUGCCUGACACUAAAUUCCAAUGUGGGUCUAUGUCAGAGCUCUUUCUGGUCCACUGAUCUAUUUGUCUACUCCUGAGCUGGAUAAUAUGCUUUGCUAACUGCCGGGACAAAUCCCACCCUCUUUGUUGUUUUUGUAAAAUUGCCUUGGUCAUCCUUGCGUAUUUGUCCCACCACAUGAAUUUUAAAAUAGCCAGUCAACUUUCAAGAAAAAUUCUGCUAGGAUUUUAAUUGGGGUCACAUUGAGUUUAUGGAUAAGUCUGAGGAAAAUUGGCCCCUUUAUCAUGUUUGCAUCUGCCAACCAGUGCUCUUUGCUGUAUCUCUCAGUUGCGGUCAUCUUUCACGUCUUUCAGGGAAGGUGUGUGGUUUUCUCUCGUUAAAAGUCUUGCAUAUUUCUUGAUAAAUUUAUUCCUCGUUUUAUUACAGGUUUUGUUGCCAGUUGUGAAUAGGAUCUCCUCUCCCCUUAUGUUUGGCCCUUGUUUUUCCAUCCUUCGUUUCAACCUGUUCACUGAUCAGCUUGACUUGCGGACACACACGCAAAGUAAACGUUCUUCCUCCCUGGGCUCACGCACGUGAGCACAGCCAAACACUCAGAGCUGGCAUAAUUGGCUGAAAACAAAUUAGAAUCUUUUCAGAUUAUACUUUAAUUAAACAAGUAAAGCACGAAUACAUUUUCCUUUUAAAAGGAGAGCAGUAUGAAAUUAAAGUUUCCUUUGGUCACUUGAGGUCCUGGUUCCUCAACCCUCCGCAGAGGUGGCCACUGUUCAGAGUUUGAUGUAUUAAGAGUUCCUGCUGUGGUGCAGUAAGUUAACAAUCUGACUGCAGUGGCUCAGGUCACUUUGGAGACUCAGGUUCAAUCCCUCGUCCAGGAAUUUCCAUAUGCCACAGGUGCAGCCAUAAAAAAAAAAAAAAAAAAAAAAAAAGAAUUUGAUAUAUUGCCUUCCAUAGUAAAUAUAUAGAUAGUAUGGAUGGAAGUAUUUUGAAUAAAUGUCACCAUGUCAUAGGUAUUAUACUAUAUCCUGCAUUUUUUCACUUAAUCUUUGCUUUUGAGUUACACUCAUGUUAGUGAUAUAGCAGCUCUUGUUCAUGCUUUUUAGCAGCUGUAUAGGGUAGUACUUCUUCACCUGACUGUACCAAGAUUCCCCUUCUCUAACAUCCAUAGUCUGAGGGGUUCCUCCCCUUAACCCCUUGUAAUGAAGAAUGCUGCCAGGGACAUCUUGGCACCUGCUCUGGAAAUGUUUCUAUAGGGUUGGCAGUGAGAGUGGAACUCUGGCCCCUGUGGUGUCCACCGUUCCAGUUUUAGUAGUCGCAGUCCAAGUUGGCUUCUGAAGUUGCUGUGCAAUUUAAACUCCUUUCACAAGGAACUGUAAAUCUUCCUUUUUCCAAACCAUUGCCAGCUUUUAAAGUUUAUGGAUCUGAUGAAUGAAAAAAGUGGUUUCUUGAUUUCGUUUGUGUUUUCCCGGUCACAUUGUGGUCUCCUCCUGGGUCUCCUGGCCAUUUAUAUUUCCUCCCAUUGGAAUCAUCCAUGCAUCUCCUUUGUCCCCCUCUCUUCUGUGUUGUCUUUUUCUUUUUGACUUAUAGGAUUUAUUUACGUAUUUUUCAUAUGAAUUCCCUGUCUACUCUAUGCAUUGCAUGUAAUCUACCAUUCUGACCCUUGUCAUUUAACUGUAUUAUCUUUUUAUUACAGAGCUCUUAAUUUUUAUGUCAAAUUUAGAAUUAUCUUGCCAUAAGAAGGCCCUGCUUAUGUUAAGAUCACAACCAUUUUUCCUGUAUUUUUCCUGAAGCUUUCAUGAUUUUCUUUCUUGCAUAUGUAUUUUAUGUUAUUUUACUAUUCUCACAUUUAAGCCUUUACUGCAUAUGAAGCUAAUUUUUAGUGUGUUAUGGAUGCUUAAUUUUAGUAAACUUCAAAAUUGAUAACCAAUAUUUUCAGUACCAUUUAUUGGGUAAUCUGUCCUUUCUCCACUGAUUUAAAAUCGCUGCCUCUGCCUGACACUAAAUUCCAAUGUGGGUCUAUGUCAGAGCUCUUUCUGGUCCACUGAUCUAUUUGUCUACUCCUGAGCUGGAUAAUAUGCUUUGCUAACUGCCGGGACAAAUCCCACCCUCUUUGUUGUUUUUGUAAAAUUGCCUUGGUCAUCCUUGCAUAUUUGUCCCACCACAUGAAUUUUAAAAUAGCCAGUCAACUUUCAAGAAAAAUUCUGCUAGGAUUUUAAUUGGGGUCACAUUGAGUUUAUGGAUAAGUCUGAGGAAAAUUGGCCCCUUUAUCAUGUUUGCAUCUGCCAACCAGUGCUCUUUGCUGUAUCUCUCAGUUGCGGUCAUCUUUCACGUCUUUCAGGGAAGGUGUGUGGUUUUCUCUCGUUAAAAGUCUUGCAUAUUUCUUGAUAAAUUUAUUCCUCGUUUUAUUACAGGUUUUGUUGCCAGUUGUGAAUAGGAUCUCCUCUCCCCUUAUUUGUUUAUUUGACCCUUGGGGCUUUUGUUUGUUUUGUUUUUUAAGUUUCAUUGAAGUAUAGUUGAUUCACAAUGUUGUGAUAAUUUCUGCAGUACGACAGAGUGAUUCAGUUAUACAUAUACACACAUCCAUUCUUUUUCAGAUUCUUUUCUCCUAUAGAUUAUCACCAAAUAUCGUGCCCUUUGUUUUUCCAUCCUUCGUUUCAACCUGUUCACUGAUCAGCUUGACUUGCGGACACACACGCAAAGUAAACGUUCUUCCUCCCUGGGCUCACGCACGUGAGCACAGCCAAACACUCAGAGCUGGCAUAAUUGGCUGAAAACAAAUUAGAAUCUUUUCAGAUUAUACUUUAAUUAAACAAGUAAAGCAUGAAUACAUUUUCCUUUUAAAAGUAGAACAAUAUGAAUGUAACUAAAGUUUCCUUUGGCCAUCCUCUGAAGUUCUAGCUCGCCUCCCCUCCCCACAGUUUUAUGUGUCUCCUUCCAUAGAAAUGUAUCGAUGUAGAUACUUUGAAUGACUCCUCCCGUCUUAUAGAGAUUUUACUGUAAGCUGUGUUUUUUUUUUUCACUGUCUUCGAUUGCUAAGAUAUACUCAUAUUGAUACAAUAGUUCUCACCAGUUCCUUUUAAUAGCUGUGUUAUAAUCACUCCCAUGCAUGUGCCACAUUUUUUUCUUCCCUAAGAUCCAUAGAUAGUUUGUUGCAUCCUUUUCUUUCCUCCCUCAUAAGCAGGCUGCAGAAAAGCCUUAUACAUGCCUCCUCUGUAAUGUUUCUUUAGAAUAGUGUUUAAAAAGUGGAAUUGGGGGAGUUCCCAUGUGGCUGAGCAGGUUAAGGAUCUGGCAUUAUCAUUGUAGUGGCUCAAGUUGCUGCUUCCAGGAACUUCCACAUGCCGAGAGUGUGCCCUCCCCUGCAUCGAUAAGUAGAAUUUUGGCUCUCACAAGUUCCACAUUUUUGGUUUUAGACAUUACCAAAGUGUUCUCCAUGAUUUCUGUACCAUUUAAACUUCUAGCCAGAGGGUGUGCGGGGACUGCAGUCCCCACACCAUAAGCAGUUAUUUUAAAUGUUUGCCAAUCUGAUGGAUGAAAAAUUGAAUCGUUUAAAAAAAUUUAUGCAUACUUGUUUGCUAGUGAGAUUUUCAUAUGUGUAUUAGGCAUUUGUGUUUUUUAUUUUCUGAAUAAUCUGUUUAUUUUUGCUCAUUUAAAAAUUAGGUUGUUUGUCUAUCUUAAUGAUUUAUGAGUUUCCUAAUAUAACCUAGAUAUCAAUCGUGUGUGUGUGUGUGUGUGUGUGUGUGUGUGUGUGUGUGUGUGUGUGUGUGUGUGUGGCAAAUGUUUUCUUCCAGCUGGUCUAUUGCCUUCAAAUUUUGUAGGAGCUUUUGUUAGACAGAAGUUAUCAAUUUUGACAUAAUCAAAUUUAUCUGUUCCUUUGUUCUUUUUAUUUAUACAUCAUGUUUAGGCUUUUCUUACUACUAAGGUUUAAAUACAUUCUGAAUUCCUUUCUAGUAGUUUUGUUUUUAUAUGGGUCUUUAUGCAGCUGGAAUGUAUGUUUAUGAUUGAAAUGAGAUAUUAUCUAACAUUUCUCCAAACAUGUAUCACUGAUAAUUGCAACACGAAUUUGUUCUUUCUCUGCUGAUCUGAAAUCAGACUCCCUCAUAUAAUGAAUUACAGUGUCUAGGUGGGUCUGAGGCCCUUGUUCUGUUUUACCAAUCUGCGUAUUUCUCUCUGUGUCAGACUAUUUUACCGGCUAUUGCUUUAUGCCAUCUUUUGAUAUCUAGUAAGUAAAAUGCUCCAGUUCAUUGUGCUUCCUUUUCAAUUAUCUAAGCUAACUAUUAGUGUACAUCAACUCCUCCACCUGCUUGUCAAGUUCUGUGAAUUUAAAAAUUGUUUUGGAGGGUUCCCGUCGUGGCACAGCAGAAACAAAUCUGACUAGUAACCAUGAGGUUACGGGUUUGAUCCCUGGCUUCGGUCAGUGGGUUAAAGAUCCAGAGUUGCCAUGAGCUGUGGCGUAGGUCACAGAUGCGGCUCGGAUCCCAUGUUGCUGUGGCUGUGGCGUAGGCCAGCAGCUGUAGCUCCAAUUAGGCCCCUAGCCUGGGAACUUCCAUAUGCUACAAGUGCGGCCCUAAAAAGAAAAGAAAAGAAAAAGGGAGAGAUUAUUUUGGGGAAAAUUGACAUCAGUACAAUACUGAGUCUUUCCAUGGACGUGUAGAGCCCUGUACAAACUCUGAUCAUCUUGUCUGCCUUCAGCCCCACAUUAUGGUUUUCUCCCUAAAGAACCCACCCAUUUCCUCAGUGGGUUUAUUCCUGUAGUUUUUAUUGUUGUUGUGAUUGAAUUCCCUCUGCACCCCAUUUUGUUUUUCUUUUGCUUGCUACAUUGUUUUUUUCCUAAAUCUACUAAUCACUGUACUUCAUUCAUAGACACACACAAAGUAAACGUUCUUCCUCCCUGGACACAAACACGGAGCACUGCCAAACACACAGAGCUGACAUAAUUGGCUGAAAAUGAAUGGGAAUUUUUUCAAAUUAAAGUUUAAUGACACAAG
Sus scrofa (pig) is the source of this 6833-nucleotide non-coding RNA. The record is from RefSeq and is a predicted model, not a curated record. NCBI's taxonomy places the organism in Eukaryota, Metazoa, Chordata, Mammalia, Artiodactyla, Suidae.